Molecule: transfer RNA, 76 nt
Filed under: Alcaligenes faecalis
Lineage: Bacteria; Pseudomonadati; Pseudomonadota; Betaproteobacteria; Burkholderiales; Alcaligenaceae
Also listed under: 95 other names
Description: tRNA-Lys
Rfam family: tRNA
About the family: Transfer RNA (tRNA) molecules are approximately 80 nucleotides in length. Their secondary structure includes four short double-helical elements and three loops (D, anti-codon, and T loops).
Source: RNAcentral
GGGUCGUUAGCUCAGUCGGUAGAGCAGCGGACUUUUAAUCCGUUGGUCGCGCGUUCGAGUCGCGCACGACCCACCA